UACGUAGGGCGCAAGCGUUGUCCGGAAUUAUUGGGCGUAAAGAGCUCGUAGGCGGUCUGUCGCGUCGGCUGUGAAAACCCGGGGCUCAACCCCGGGCCUGCAGUCGAUACGGGCAGACUAGAGUGUGGUAGGGGAGACUGGAAUUCCUGGUGUAGCGGUGGAAUGCGCAGAUAUCAGGAGGAACACCGGUGGCGAAGGCGGGUCUCUGGGCCGAUACUGACGCUGAGGAGCGAAAGCGUGGGGAGCGAACAGG
This 253-nucleotide ribosomal RNA is filed under the name uncultured bacterium. Its description in RNAcentral is "partial 16S ribosomal RNA". It matches the Rfam family "Bacterial small subunit ribosomal RNA", at positions 524 to 776 of the family's 1533-position model. The record is from RNAcentral.